UGGCUCAGGAUGAACGCUGGCGGCGUGCUUAACACAUGCAAGUCGAACGAUGAUCCGGUGCUUGCACCGGGGAUUAGUGGCGAACGGGUGAGUAACACGUGAGUAACCUGCCCUUAACUCUGGGAUAAGCCUGGGAAACUGGGUCUAAUACCGGAUAUGACUGAUCAUCGCAUGGUGGUUGGUGGAAAGCUUUUUGUGGUUUUGGAUGGACUCGCGGCCUAUCAGCUUGUUGGUGAGGUAAUGGCUUACCAAGGCGACGACGGGUAGCCGGCCUGAGAGGGUGACCGGCCACACUGGGACU
This 301-nucleotide ribosomal RNA is filed under the name Arthrobacter humicola. RNAcentral's name for it is "bacterial SSU rRNA". It matches the Rfam family "Bacterial small subunit ribosomal RNA", at positions 20 to 320 of the family's 1533-position model. The record is from RNAcentral. Lineage: Bacteria; Bacillati; Actinomycetota; Actinomycetes; Micrococcales; Micrococcaceae.